RNAcentral lists this ribosomal RNA (773 nucleotides) under uncultured Neocallimastigales. Its description in RNAcentral is "partial large subunit ribosomal RNA". It matches the Rfam family "Eukaryotic large subunit ribosomal RNA", at positions 22 to 635 of the family's 3401-position model. Lineage: Eukaryota; Fungi; Neocallimastigomycota; Neocallimastigomycetes; Neocallimastigales. The record is from RNAcentral.
GUACACGCUGUGACUAGCAUAUCAAUAAGCGGAGGAAAAGAAACUAACAAGGAUUCCCCUAGUAACGGCGAGUGAAGCGGGAAGAGCUCAAAUUUGAAAUCUUAAAGGGUUUCCCUUUACGAAUUGUAGUUUAAAGAAGUGUUUUCUGUUGAGGUUUUGGUAAAAGUUCUUUGGAAUAGGACAUCAUAGAGGGUGAGAAUCCCGUAUUUGACCUUUACUUUCAACUUUGUGAUACACUUUCAAAGAGUCGGAUUGUUUGGGAAUGCAGUCCAAAAUGGGUGGUAAAUUUCAUCUAAAGCUAAAUAUUGGCGAGAGACCGAUAGCGGACAAGUACCGUGAGGGAAAGAUGAAAAGAACUUUGAAAAGAGAGUUAAACAGUACGUGAAAUUGUCAAAAGGGAAGCGUUUGACACCAGUGUUGUUUUUCUGAAAAUCAAUUAAAGAACUGUUUAUGCUAAGCUGUUUAGACUUUAUCAGCUAUCUGUUUAGUUUUGAGCUUUUCUUUAAUGCACUUUUCAGUUAACAAGUCAACAUCAAUUUCUUUUGCUGUAAAAAAGCUUGAGGAGGUGGCUUGAGAUUCGUCUUAAGUGUUUAUAGCCUCUUGCCUAUGCAGUCGGAGAGAUUGAGGUCUGCAGCGUAGAUCCUUCGGGGCUAAAUGCAUUUGUGCUAAGUUAUAGCAUUUUAUAGACAACUUGUUGACUAUGAUUUGUCUUGUAGCUUACUCGCUUAUGUUAUUUUACCUACGCUUAGGAUGUUGAAGAUGUAGCACAUCAU